UACGAAGGGGGCUAGCGUUGCUCGGAAUCACUGGGCGUAAAGCGCACGUAGGCGGCUUAUUAAGUCAGGGGUGAAAUCCUGGAGCUCAACUCCAGAACUGCCUUUGAUACUGAUGAGCUUGAGUUCGGGAGAGGUGAGUGGAACUGCGAGUGUAGAGGUGAAAUUCGUAGAUAUUCGCAAGAACACCAGUGGCGAAGGCGGCUCACUGGCCCGAUACUGACGCUGAGGCACGAAAGCGUGGGGAGCAAACAGG
RNAcentral lists this ribosomal RNA (253 nucleotides) under uncultured bacterium. RNAcentral's name for it is "partial 16S ribosomal RNA". It matches the Rfam family "Bacterial small subunit ribosomal RNA", at positions 524 to 776 of the family's 1533-position model. The record is from RNAcentral.